RNAcentral lists this ribosomal RNA (254 nucleotides) under uncultured bacterium. RNAcentral's name for it is "partial 16S ribosomal RNA". It matches the Rfam family "Bacterial small subunit ribosomal RNA", at positions 524 to 776 of the family's 1533-position model. The record is from RNAcentral.
UACGUAGGGUGCAAGCGUUGUCCGGAAUUAUUGGGCGUAAAGAGCUCGUAGGCGGUUUGUCGCGUCGAAUGUGAAAACCCGGGGCUCAACCCCGGGCCUGCAUUCGAUACGGGGCAGACUAGAGUUCGGUAGGGGAGUCUGGAAUUCCUGGUGUAGCGGUGAAAUGCGCAGAUAUCAGGAGGAACACCGGUGGCGAAGGCGGUUCUCUGGGCAUUACCUGACGCUGAGGAGCGAAAGUGUGGGGAGCGAACAGG